RNAcentral lists this microRNA precursor (75 nucleotides) under Myotis brandtii (Brandt's bat). RNAcentral's name for it is "mir-9229 microRNA precursor family". It matches the Rfam family "mir-9229 microRNA precursor family". Lineage: Eukaryota; Metazoa; Chordata; Mammalia; Chiroptera; Vespertilionidae. The record is from Rfam by way of RNAcentral.
AGACACCCUUAUGGGGCAGGACUUGCUUCAGUGGGGCUUUGGUGCUUCCUGAGUCUGUCCCUUGAGUGUGUCACU